GAGGGUGUAGCUCAAGUAACAGAGCACAUGCUUAGCAUGCAUGAGGUCCUGGGUUCAAUCCCUAGUACCUCCU
RNAcentral lists this transfer RNA (73 nucleotides) under Camelus bactrianus (Bactrian camel). It matches the Rfam family "tRNA". Rfam says of the family: Transfer RNA (tRNA) molecules are approximately 80 nucleotides in length. Their secondary structure includes four short double-helical elements and three loops (D, anti-codon, and T loops). Further hydrogen bonds mediate the characteristic L-shaped molecular structure. tRNAs have two regions of fundamental functional importance: the anti-codon, which is responsible for specific mRNA codon recognition, and the 3' end, to which the tRNAs corresponding amino acid is attached (by aminoacyl-tRNA synthetases). tRNAs cope with the degeneracy of the genetic code in two manners: having more than one tRNA (with a specific anti-codon) for a particular amino acid; and 'wobble' base-pairing, i.e. permitting non-standard base-pairing at the 3rd anti-codon position. Lineage: Eukaryota; Metazoa; Chordata; Mammalia; Artiodactyla; Camelidae. The record is from Rfam by way of RNAcentral. RNAcentral also lists the same sequence under 2 other names.